RNAcentral lists this transfer RNA (73 nucleotides) under Microbacteriaceae bacterium. RNAcentral describes it as "tRNA-Leu". It matches the Rfam family "tRNA". From Rfam's summary of the family: Transfer RNA (tRNA) molecules are approximately 80 nucleotides in length. Their secondary structure includes four short double-helical elements and three loops (D, anti-codon, and T loops). Further hydrogen bonds mediate the characteristic L-shaped molecular structure. tRNAs have two regions of fundamental functional importance: the anti-codon, which is responsible for specific mRNA codon recognition, and the 3' end, to which the tRNAs corresponding amino acid is attached (by aminoacyl-tRNA synthetases). tRNAs cope with the degeneracy of the genetic code in two manners: having more than one tRNA (with a specific anti-codon) for a particular amino acid; and 'wobble' base-pairing, i.e. permitting non-standard base-pairing at the 3rd anti-codon position. The record is from RNAcentral. Lineage: Bacteria; Bacillati; Actinomycetota; Actinomycetes; Micrococcales; Microbacteriaceae.
GCCCCGGUAGCCCAACGGCAGAGGCAGGCGACUUAAACUCGCCCGAGUCUGGGUUCGAGUCCCAGUCGGGGCA